Non-coding RNA from Acanthosepion pharaonis, 98 nucleotides. The record is from the annotation of a GenBank genome assembly. Lineage: Eukaryota; Metazoa; Mollusca; Cephalopoda; Sepiida; Sepiidae.
AGGGAACACCGGUUCCAGUACAAUCACCGAAGUUAAGCAACGUUGAGCUGUGCCAGUACUUAGAUGGGUGACUGCUUAGGAAUACCAGGAGCUGUAAG